Molecule: non-coding RNA, 79 nt
Organism: Postia placenta MAD-698-R-SB12
Lineage: Eukaryota; Fungi; Basidiomycota; Agaricomycetes; Polyporales; Adustoporiaceae
Source: the annotation of a RefSeq genome assembly
UCCGAUAUGGUGUAGUGGCUAACAUUAUCGCCUCUCAAACGGUGCGCGAUAGCCCGGGGUUCGAUUCCCCGUGUCGGAA